This 367-nucleotide ribosomal RNA is filed under the name Actinomycetota bacterium. RNAcentral's name for it is "bacterial SSU rRNA". It matches the Rfam family "Bacterial small subunit ribosomal RNA", at positions 1 to 369 of the family's 1533-position model. Lineage: Bacteria; Bacillati; Actinomycetota. The record is from RNAcentral.
UUCAAUGGAGAGUUUGAUCCUGGCUCAGGACGAACGCUGGCGGCGUGCUUUACACAUGCAAGUCGAACGAUGAAGUUCCUUCGGGAAUGGAUUAGUGGCGAACGGGUGAGGAACACGUGAGAAAUCUGCCCUUCAUUUUGGGAUAACUCCGGGAAACCGGGGCUAAUACCAAAUACUCCAUCCCGGUGGCAUCACUGGGCUGGGAAAGAAUUUCGAUGAAGGUUGAUCUCGCGGCCUAUCAGCUAGUUGGUGAGGUAAUGGCUCACCAAGGCAACGACGGGUAGCCGGCCUGAGAGGGCGACCGGCCACACUGGGACUGAGACACGGCCCAGACUCCUACGGGAGGCAGCAGUGGGGAAUAUUGGGC